AGGUGCGAUCAUACCAGCACUAAUGCACCGGAUCCCAUCAGAACUCCGCAGUUAAGUGUGCUUGGGCGAGAGUAGUACUAGGAUGGGUGACCUCCUGGGAAGUCCUCGUGUUGCACCU
This 118-nucleotide ribosomal RNA is filed under the name Vigna minima. Lineage: Eukaryota; Viridiplantae; Streptophyta; Magnoliopsida; Fabales; Fabaceae. The record is from RNAcentral.